GGCUGUUCGCCAUUUAAAGUGGUACGCGAGCUGGGUUUAGAACGUCGUGAGACAGUUCGGUCCCUAUCUGCCGUGGACGUUUGAGAUUUGAGAGGGGCUGCUCCUAGUACGAGAGGACCGGAGUGGACGAACCUCUGGUGUUCCGGUUGUCACGCCAGUGGCAUUGCCGGGUAGCUAUGUUCGGAAUAGAUAACCGCUGAAAGCAUCUAAGCGGGAAACUAGCCUCAAGAUGAGAUCUCACUGGGACCUUG
This 251-nucleotide ribosomal RNA is filed under the name Croceibacter atlanticus. Its description in RNAcentral is "partial 23S ribosomal RNA". It matches the Rfam family "Bacterial large subunit ribosomal RNA", at positions 2575 to 2824 of the family's 2925-position model. The record is from RNAcentral. Lineage: Bacteria; Pseudomonadati; Bacteroidota; Flavobacteriia; Flavobacteriales; Flavobacteriaceae.